Sphaeramia orbicularis (orbiculate cardinalfish) is the source of this 129-nucleotide small nucleolar RNA. Ensembl annotates it as small nucleolar RNA SNORA44. Lineage: Eukaryota; Metazoa; Chordata; Actinopteri; Kurtiformes; Apogonidae. The record is from Ensembl.
AGGCAUGCAAUCCUAAGGACCUGAGCUUGUGUGUAGUUCUGGUUCUCCAAGUGUAUGCAAGAACAUUGGGUGGUCUUUGACUGUUGUGGCUCUUCCUGCCAUCAGCAGCCACUCAGCUGUCCUACAGAU